UGUGUGUAUCUAUACACACACACACAUCGAUACACUCAGUGACACUGAUGUGUGUGUGCAUAUGCGUGACUGAAUGAAGGUGUAUAUGUUUGUGGGGAUUUUUGUGCCCAUCCUAAAAAAAGGGUUGACAUGUGUGCAACCCUGCCUAGCAGUAACUAAUGGCGCGUUAGGGUUAGGGUAACCCUAACCCUGCUCAUGACCUAGUAGUAACUAAUGGCGCUUAUCCACCGGCGGGUGCGCUUCGGCCCAGCAUGCCUCAGCCCAGUAGUGAGGGCGUGGUAGCCCAGCUCCGUGACGGCUCUCGUUCCCACCGCCGACACCGUGGCGGCUACGUUAGCAUUGUGACCUCAUAGCAGACACAGUGUAGCCUGAUAAUAAAUCAGGAAAAAUAAGAAUGCGACAUAAUGAACAAAGAGCAACAAUGUAGGACGUCCAAGAAGGACUUAUGCGUGACAUUUUCUUCAAUAAACAAAGCUUUCACUUCCGUGCGGAAGUGACGAUUCUGCCAAUCAACGGAUGGCGUGUGUAGCUCGAACUUGCCGGCACCCUUUCAGGCGUCUCAGUACCCACACGGAGGAGUACUGGAGACGAGUACGGCUCAAUACGGCUCAGUCCGGACACGCACACUUUUGGCGGUGGAAACGCUAACCACGCCGCACCUCUGCAGACUAAACCGACCCGCACCCUCCGGUGGAAAGGCGCCAUUGGAGCCGGGACUAUCGAUGUUUAGUUCCUGUUAAUGGUUGAGUGAGUCCCGCCUAUAUUUAGAAAGCCUGGGACUCUAUUUGUGGGUCCUGCCCUGCUCAGCGUGCCGUAGCUGGUAUCGGAUCGAUGUGCACCUCGGCCCUCUGACCCGGCUCAAGGGCAGCUUGAGAGGUGCUCCGUGUUGGAGGGGAAGAGAGGAGGAUUAAUGGGUUAGGGUUAGGGUUAGGGUAACCCUAACUCCGUGUUGGAGGGGAAGAGAGGAUGAUUAAUGGGUUAGGGUUAGGGUAACCCUAACUCCGUGUUGGAGGGGAAGAGAGGAUGAUUAAUACAAAGCUGCAAGCUUGUCGCUUUUCGGCGACAAUCGCCGUUUUCUUGGUCAAUUCGGUCAUUCACGUGAAUCGUGUAGAACCGGUCCAGAGGGGUGUUCCACGAACUGAGGUUUAACAAACACUGAGUUAACGAUGAACUCUAGGUUGAUUGACCCUGUGCCGACCAACCCAGAGUUUUCGGUUCCACAGCAGCGGUUAUGCAUUAGUUCAAUCAACUCGGGGUUGGUUAACACAGGGUUGUGCGCGUCCACGCCAAACUUAAAAAGACGUGAUGUAUGGAUCAUGGAAACCCUGAUCGAUAUGGCGAAACGGGCCGCUUAUUUCAAUGAAAUGGAACUCCAGGUUCUCCUGGAGAGCUAUGACGAGGAGAAGGACAUUAUCACAAGAAAAGGGAACGCUAAAACCUCUGGAACCCGGAGAACCAAAGCCUGGCAGCGGAUCGCUGACCGCGUAAAUGCGUUAGUUACACGUCAAAAGCAUGAUCCUUAAUAUUUGAGCCAUGAAUAUAUAAAUAUCCCAGUUAAGCAUUCUUAAAGAUCCUACCACAUAACCCCUUUCUUCUAAAACAAUAUGUACUCCGAUUGCUUCCAAGCGGUCAGAGGAUCAAGUAUAAAAAUGAAGUAUAAAAAACAUACAAACUGGUAA
This is a long non-coding RNA of Gadus macrocephalus (Pacific cod), 1679 nucleotides long. RefSeq lists it as uncharacterized. The record is from RefSeq and is a predicted model, not a curated record. NCBI's taxonomy places the organism in Eukaryota, Metazoa, Chordata, Actinopteri, Gadiformes, Gadidae. The transcript has 2 exons.